UACGUAGGGCGCAAGCGUUGUUCGGAUUUAUUGGGCGUAAAGGGUGCGUAGGCGGCGGAGUAAGUUGGGUGUGAAAUCCCGGGGCUCAACCUCGGAAUGGCAUUCAAUACUGCUUCGCUAGAGUACUGGAGAGGAGGCUGGAAUUUACGGUGUAGCAGUGAAAUGCGUAGAUAUCGUAAGGAAGGCCGGUGGCGAAAGCGAGCCUCUGGACAGUUACUGACGCUGAUGCACGAAGGCCAGGGGAGCAAACGGG
Molecule: ribosomal RNA, 253 nt
Filed under: uncultured bacterium
Lineage: Bacteria
Description: partial 16S ribosomal RNA
Rfam family: Bacterial small subunit ribosomal RNA
Source: RNAcentral